CCUACGGGAGGCAGCAGUGGGGAAUAUUGCACAAUGGGGGAAACCCUGAUGCAGCAACGCCGCGUGAAGGAAGACGGUUUUCGGAUUGUAAACUUCUUUUCUUAGUGAAGAAUAAUGACGGUAGCUAAGGAGCAAGCCACGGCUAACUACGUGCCAGCCGCCGCGGUAAUACGGAGGUGGCAAGCGUUUUCCGGAAUUACUGGGUGUAAAGGGCUGGUAGGCGGGACUGCAAGUCAGGUGUGAAAACCAUGGGCUCAACCUAUGGCCUGCAUUUGAAACUGUAGUUUUUGAGUACUGGAGAGGCAGACGGAAUUCCUGGUGUAGCGGUGAAAUGCGUAGAUAUUAGGAGGAACACCAGUGGCGAAGGCGGUCUGCUGGACAGCAACUGACGCUGAGGCGCGAAAGCGUGGGGAGCAAACAGGAUUAGAUACCCUAGUAGUC
Molecule: ribosomal RNA, 441 nt
Filed under: uncultured bacterium
Lineage: Bacteria
Description: partial 16S ribosomal RNA
Rfam family: Bacterial small subunit ribosomal RNA
Source: RNAcentral